GUCCUGGGGAAGGACAUGGUCCUGAGAACAAGAAGUCUUGCUUCCAAACCAGAAUGUAUGAGACGUCCACUGCCCUCUGUUCCCAGCAGAGUGACCAAAACCAAUUUGUUGGCUUUUAUUUGCCUGGCCCUUACAAAAGUGCCUUUGUGGGAGAAGUGGGAUCCAGCACCAUAUGGCAAGGGACCCAGAGGG
Molecule: long non-coding RNA, 192 nt
Organism: Diceros bicornis minor
Lineage: Eukaryota; Metazoa; Chordata; Mammalia; Perissodactyla; Rhinocerotidae
Exons: 3
Source: RefSeq, a predicted model, not a curated record